Molecule: ribosomal RNA, 370 nt
Filed under: uncultured eukaryote
Lineage: Eukaryota
Description: partial 18S ribosomal RNA
Rfam family: Eukaryotic small subunit ribosomal RNA
Source: RNAcentral
CAAUAGCGUAUAUUAAAGUUGUUGCAGUUAAAAAGCUCGUAGUUGGAUUUCUGGUCGGAAGCUCCUGUCCUCUGAUGAGCGUACAAGUGCGUCCUACCAUCCUUCUGUUAACCUUUAAGGCUUUCGCGGCUUUCUAGGGGCUCAGAUAUUUUACCUUGAGAAAAUUAGAGUGUUUCAGGCAGGCUAGCGCCGGAAUACAUUAGCAUGGAAUAAUGGAAUAGGACUUUUGCCUCUUCUGUUGGUCAUGAGGCUCGAGUAAUGAUUAAUAGGGAUAGUUGGGGGCAUUAGUACUUAACUGUCAGAGGUGAAAUUCUCGGAUUCGUUAAAGACUAACUUAUGCGAAAGCAUUUGCCAAGGAUGUUUUCAUUAA